Molecule: ribosomal RNA, 492 nt
Filed under: uncultured Sphingobacteriales bacterium
Lineage: Bacteria; Pseudomonadati; Bacteroidota; Sphingobacteriia; Sphingobacteriales
Description: bacterial SSU rRNA
Rfam family: Bacterial small subunit ribosomal RNA
Source: RNAcentral
CCCGCUCAGAAACUCAAUGAAUUGACGGGGCCCGCACAAGCGGAGGAGCAUGUGGUUUAAUUCGAUGAUACGCGAGGAACCUUACCUGGGCUCGAACGUAAGAUGACUGUAGGUGAAAGCUUACAUCUCUUCGGAGCAUUUUACGAGGUGCUGCAUGGUUGUCGUCAGCUCGUGCCGUGAGGUGUCGGGUUAAGUCCCAUAACGAGCGCAACCCCUACCUUUAGUUGCCAUCAGGUUAAGCUGGGGACUCUAAAGGAACUGCCUACGCAAGUAGUGAGGAAGGCGGGGAUGACGUCAAAUCAGCACGGCCCUUACGUCCAGGGCUACACACGUGCUACAAUGGCCGAUACAGAGGGCAGCUACCUGGUGACAGGAUGCAAAUCUCCAAAGUCGGUCUCAGUUCGGAUCGGAGUCUGCAACCCGACUCCGUGAAGUUGGAUUCGCUAGUAAUCGCGCAUCAGCCAUGGCGCGGUGAAUACGUUCCCGGGCCUU